Molecule: ribosomal RNA, 1501 nt
Filed under: uncultured marine eukaryote
Lineage: Eukaryota
Description: SSU rRNA
Rfam family: Eukaryotic small subunit ribosomal RNA
Source: RNAcentral
UGGAGCAGGCGCGCAAUUGCCCAAUAGCAACACCUAGCUGAGGCAGCGAAGAGAAAUAGCAACUUCAUGCGGCCUUGCCGUGUGAAGAUUGCAAUGGAAGAUAUCUAAACCUGUCUGUGAGUAUCAAUUGGAGGACAAGUCUGGUGCCAGCACCCGCGGUAAUUCCAGCUCCAAUAGCGUAUAUUAAUCCUGCUGCUGUUAAAAAGCUCGUAGUUGGAUCAAGAGUACAACCGUGAAGGUUGGCCCAGUUUGUCGUCGUGGCCUCGGUUGCGGCGGCGGCUCGGGAGUAACCGCCUUCACCAAGCGGUUGUCUCUAAUAGGCGGAAACGGCUCCCGGUGAGUAGGUCCCUUCAUUGGGAUUGAAAGCGCAUACGCGUUAACCAUACGCAUUCGGGACGUCCGCCAUUGUUACUGUGAACAAACCAGCGUGUCCAAAGCAGGUUCCGCCUGCAUGUUCGAGCAUGGAAUAACAAGGGAUCGAUCCUCUCGGUUCUUUUUGUUGGUUUUUAACCCGAGAAGGAGUAAUUCAGGCCAGGGUGUCUGAGUCGGGUUUCCCUAGACUUCGGUUUAGGCCCCGAUUAGGCCCUGUCCUUACGGGAUCAAUAGGGACUGCCGGGGUCGUAAGUACUUCUACGUCAGAGGUGAAAUUCUUAGAUCGUAGAAAGACUAACUUCUGCGAAAACAUCCGACAAGAAUGUCUUCAUUAAUCAAGAACGAGAGUGUGGGGAUCGAAGAUGAUCAGAUACCGUCGUAGUCCACUACUGUAAACAAUGCCGUCUCAACCUAAUGACCCUCACGGCACUAACCCCUGAAACGAGAAAUCAAAGAUUAUGGGUUCAGGGGGGAGUACAUUCGCAAGGCUGAAACUUAAAGGAAUUGACGGAAUGACACCACCAGGCGUGGAGUAUGCGGCUUAAUUUGACUCAACACGGGGAAUUUUACUAGGUCAGGACAAUGUAAGGAUUGACAGAUUGAGAGCUCUUUCUCGAUCCAUUGUGUGGUGGUGCAUGGCCGCUCCUGGUUGGUGGAGUGAUUUGUCUGGUUGAUUCCGUUAACGAACGAGAUCUCGACCUCUAAAUAGGUGGCCGUGACGAUUUGUAGUCUCAUCUCUGCAGCCUAGCUGAUUUGAGUGGGACGAGUCAGCGGCAAUACUUCUUAGAGGGACUGUCUGCGUCUCUAGCAGGCGGAAGAGCGAGCCAAUAGCAGGUCUGUGAUGCUCCUAAAUGUCCUAGGCUGCACGCGCACUACACUGAUGCAUUAAACGAGUCUGAUUGGCUUUGCCAACCUAGCUAGAAGUAGCUGGGAAACCUUUUGAACUUGCAUCGUGAUGAGGAUCGAUGAUUGCAAUUAUUCUCCUUGAAUGCGGAAUGCCUAGUAGGCGCAAGUCAUCAGCUUGCACUGAUUACGUCCCUGCCAUUUGUACACACCGCCCGUCGUUGCUACCGAUUGGCUGUAAGGUAGAGAUUGGCGGAUUUGAGUCGUCUGGGGCGACCCAGCGAUU